Acinonyx jubatus (cheetah) is the source of this 12937-nucleotide RNA transcript. It is a transcript of the gene named nucleoredoxin like 2, with no coding region annotated. The transcript is spliced from 6 exons. Lineage: Eukaryota; Metazoa; Chordata; Mammalia; Carnivora; Felidae. The record is from RefSeq and is a predicted model, not a curated record.
GGGCGAUUAUAAUCAGGAAGAAAGUAGAUUCACAAUGUGUCUGUAAUCACAUUUGUUUUUUGCUGUUUCCCUAUUGAGUUGGGCCAAAGGAUCUUGUGGUUAAGGCUGGGGUGGGGCAGGCCACCUUCCCGCUGCCAGGUUGGCUGCAGGAAUGCCCCCCCCCCCCCGCCCGGGCCGGAUCUUGCGUCCUCCUCCUGCCACACCUCAGCCUUUUUGUGCUACUGCACAUGUAGCUCGGGAAGCGUUUUCCCUACAAAUGACAGCAAGUCUCGUCAGAAGUUGAUGGUCGCUGGCUGCCGUCUAUAGGCCAGCGAGCGGGUCUGCACGGCUUGGAGAAUCAUGGGUGGGCCUGCCGGUUUGACCGCUCUCGGCACGGCUACGGCGCUGGUGGUGAGUAAAGCGUGACAGAUGCUCCGAAGUCCUCGGCCAUUGCCGCGUGAGACUUCUGAUGGGGGGAGGGGAGGCGCACCUUUUCUCCGUGGUGCCGAUGAGGAGGGCGUGGAGGCCACGUGUCUGUUCCAGGAGGAUCACCGGCCUCAGGGCAGGGAUCUGAAGGACCCAAAGUCCAGCCAUCUCUGUGGCUAGUUUUGUACCCUUGCUUCCUAAGUGAGGGCAGGAAGUGUUUUCUUAUUUUCCAAUUAUGCUGAAGAAAUAUAAAUUUCCCUUUCGAGAUUGUAGAAACUAUUUUAUAGUUAAAGAUAUUUUAAAUAUGUCAUUACAUUCAUGUUCUUACAAAAGCUGCAUUUCUUAUGCCCACAGAACACCACAACCUCACACCUAAUUUUUACAGUAAUUGGUUUGUUCUGUGUCAUAUGUUUGUACGGUCUUAGGCUGCCGAGUCUCAGAGAAUUAGGUGAGUGAGUCUUUGAGUUAUUUCUGUGGACUUUGUCAGAUGGUCUCUGUCUGCCCUCUUACUCACUGUGAAACCCUUCAGCUUAGUUGACUCAGCUUUCAGGGUUAUUGCCUUGGCACAUCAUUUUGCCUAAAAUUGACCUUGCAUUCUUUCUGCUUAGUUUUUAUGCGAGGAUGCUGGACCAGGUGGUGCAUUGAUCCCUGCCAGUCCAGGCGACAGUGACACUGGAGUGCGGGCACUGGCUCGCGUUUCGUUUUUGUGCUGGCCGUUCCCGUUGGAUGGGUUAAGACCUAGUUCCCUGGGAAGUACUAUCUAGAGUAUCCUUUGAAACAGUUCUGGGUUCGAGUGACUUGAGAAGAAAAUCCUCCCAGUGGGACAUAGACGGAAGCACUUUGCUGGAAGAAGGAAAGUCGUUCAUGCAGCACUGGGGCACCUGUGAGUGUUGGACAGAACGCUCGGAACAGAUUACGUUUUACAUCAAUACAAGAAUCUUAUUCUUAAAGGACAUUGGAACUCUGGAAAUGGCUCAAGUUGCAAAUGCUUUCCGCAGUUGCUCAGAUUAUCGGCUUGUGGCAUUCCUGUGUUAAGCCGUCCAUGAGCCAGGCUGUGGGUUCCCCUGUGACCUCAGCCAGGCGGCCCUGGUCUGCUGUUGGCCUUCUGGAUGGAGAACCACCCUCCGGCAUCGGCACCCUAAUGACGUUGAUGGCUCCAUCUGAAACAAAACUGCCUUCUAGAUCAGCUCUGUUCUCUUCCUGAAAGCCUGACUGCUGAGUUUUAGAGCAACACAGGAAGAAAACCUGAAUGGCCGGACAGAAGGAACCCCACACCAGAAUGAUUUUUAUUCGCAGAUGCUCUUGCAUCCUUGUGUUAACAUAACCCUGGAAAAUGGAUUGAUGUGCCUUAUGACUUUGGAAGAUAUAUAUUAUUUAUUAUAAGAAACAACUACUUUAUUAUAGGAACAAAAUAAUAGUAUUUAUCACAAUGCAUUUGUCAUAUACCCUUGGAAUUUCUGUGAGUAACCACUUUAUCUGUGUGUUUCACAGAAUUGAUGUUUGUCCUUAAGAGGGUGGAACUCAACCCACAGACCAUCCCAGUUAUGACUUGGGUGUGUGUGUGCAACGGCGUAGUACCAAGUGCAUCCAUGUUUACUCUCCAGAGAGCUCACACCAGCCUGCUUCCUAGACUGUGCAGAGAAAGAGACAUCAUAAUAUGCUUAAUGUGACUUUCCAGUAUAUGCGAUACAGAGUUGAAUUAGUUAGCCAUAACAAUCUUAUGUUUUAUAUUAAAUUCCUUGUUACCCUCCUGGAAGGGAGUUUGACUAUAGCAAAAACUGUAACAAGUGCUCAUCAAAGAAGUGUUUAUAAAUUGAUUAUUACUUCCUAGUAAGUGUUAAUCACAACACGGUACCUCAAAAAUCUAUGAGAUGCAGCUACACCAUGCUUAGAAAUUUAUAGCUGCAAAUACUGUUAAAGAGAUUUUAAAUCAAUAGUCUAAGAUUCUACCUUAAAAAAAUUAGAAAAAGAGAAGCAACAGAAGUCCAAAGGAAACAGAAGGAAAGAAUAAAGAUUAGUAUGGAAAUCAGUGAAAUAGGAAACAAAAACAAUGCGGAAGAAUCAACGAAACCAAUAGCUGGGUCUUCAAAAAAGAUCCACAAGUUUGUCAUACUUUGAGCUACAGUGACAGAGAAGACAUGAAUUGCCAUUACCAAGAACGAAAGAGGGGACAUUACUAACAACCUUACAGAAGUUAGGGUUGUAAAUAAAUGCUGUGUACAACUUCAUGCCAACACACUGGGCAAGUCAAGUGAAAUGGAAAAAUCUUAGACACAAGCUACCAAGAUGUAGUCAAGAAGAAAUGGAGGGUUUUAGUAGGCCUUUAACAAAUUGAAACAAAGCCAAGGGCCAGAUGGCUUCACUGGUGAAUGCCACCAAAUGUUGACAGAAGAAAUCAUGCCAAUCUUUUCACAGAUUUAGAAAAUAGAAGAGGGGUAUACUUAACUAGCUGUGUGCUCUGAGGCUCCUAUUACCCUGAUAGUAGGGCGAGACAAAAACGUAAUGAGAAUAUUGUGGACCGGUAUCCUUCAUGAAUUCUGAGUAUAGCUACAGAAACUUCAUCAACUCUAGUGACACACAGGCACAUCUCUGAGAUACUGCAGGUUUCUUUCCAGAAGCCAAUAUCACAAUAAAGCGAAUCAAAUGAAUUUUUUGGUUUCCCAGUACAUAUAAAAGUUAUGUUUAUACUGUAAUCUGUUAAGUGUGAAAUAGCAUUAUGUCUAAAAAUAGGUACAUACCUUAUUUAAAAAUACUGCUAAAAAUGCUAACCAUUAUCUGAGGUUUUCAGCGAGUUCUAAUCACUAAUCCCAGAGAGCUAUAACAAAUAUAAUAAUAAUGAAGGUUGAAAUAUUGUAAGAAUUACCAAAAUGUGAUGCACAGAUAAGAAGUGAGUAGAUGCUGUUGAAAAUGCCGAUAGACCUCCAAUGCGGGGUUGCCACAAACCUUUGAUCUUAAAAAAAAGCAGUACUUGUGAAGAGCUAUAAACAAGGUGUCCCUGUAUAGAAUGGGUUAAGGUACAUGACCAAGUGAGUUUUAAUAUCAGAAGCCAGAUGUAUUCAUUCCACCAUAUUAACAGAAGACAGAAGGCACAAGUCAGCUCAACAGGUGGGAAAAAAGCAUUUGACAAAAUGUAAUACCCAUUCAUAAUAAAAACAAAAAAUGUGGGAAAGGAGGGAAUUUUCUCAGCCUGAUGAAGCACCUCCAUAAGAAAUCUACAGCUGGGGCACCUGGCUGGCUCAUUCCCCGGAGCGUGCUACUCUUGAUCUCAGUGUUGUGAGUUCAAGUCCCAAGUUGGCCGUAGAGAUCACUUAAAAAUAAAAUCUUAAAAACAAAAUAAUCUACAGCUAACAUCGUACCCAGUGAUGGCAGAAUGACUGUGUUUCUCGUAGGAUCAGGAACGUCAAGGGCAUCCACGCUCAUCCUUUCUACUCAACAUUGUACUAGAGUCCAGUGAGAACAAAAUACUGAGCAUCCAGAGAGAAAAGUAACAAAAAGUUUUUAUUGCAGAUGACAUGAUUCUGUGAAAAAUCUUACGGGCUAAUGAAUUCAACAUGAUGGAAACCUAGAUCUAUAUGUAGAUGUCAACCACAUUUUUCUAUAUACUAGUGAACUUUCUGAAAUGAAAUUAAUUCUAUCCAUACAACAUCACAAAGAUUAAAGUACUUGGGAAUACAUUUAAUACAAGAUCGUACACUGAAGACUGCAAACAUUAGGGAUUUCAUGUUCGUGGGUUGGAAGACUCAUUGGUUAUUAAUAUGGAGAUCGUUCUGAGAAUCCCUGCAGGCUUUGUUGCAGAAAUUAAGCUGACCCUAAAAUUUUUAGGGACAUACAAAAGCCUCCCAAUAUUCCCAAAGGAAUAGUGAAAACAAAAUUGGAUAAAGUUCUUCCUGAUUUCAGAACUUCCUGUAAAUGUACCAUAAUUAAAAUAGUGUGUUAGUGGUAUAAGGAUCUGUCUAGAUCAGUCUCCCUCUGGAAUUACAAAUGAGAAUCCUGAAAUCAGCACUUAACAUUCACGGUAAGUUGAUUUUCCUCAGAGGCACCAAGGCAGCUCAACAGGGAGAAGAUGAGUACAUGAAGCUGGAAAAAUUUGAUAUCCACAUGCAGAAGGAUGUAGUUUGGCCCUUUACUGUAUACAAAUACUAACUCAGAGUGCCCCGUGGACAAACCUGAAUGUAAGGGCUAACACUGGAAAACUCGGAAGAAAUCCUAGGUGAGAGUCUUCAUGACCCUGGGUUCGCAGAGAUUCUCCUAUACCACCCCCAAAAGCGAAUCCAUAAAAGGCCAGGCUGACACGUUAGAUGUCACCAACGCCAAAAAGUCGUAUCAUGAGCUAUCGUGAAUGAGAGAAGCUACAGACUGGGAGAAGUGUUGGCGGAUCAUGUUGAUAAAAGGAUCGGUAUCCAGAAUCUAGAAGGAACGCUAACAAGACAACCCAAGUGAAGAUGGAAAGGAGUUGAGUUAGACGCUCCUCUAAAGAAGGCAUGCGAGCACCGGAAAGAGGUGCUCAGCGUCCUCCGUCCCUGGGGAAAAGCAGAAGAGAGUGGGGUUGCCACUUCUACUGGGACAGCUGUCCUGUGCAGGACAGGCGGUGAUGGGUUGAACGUGGGAAGGACAGUGUCGCCGCUUGCUUAAAAGUCACAAAGCUGAGACCCUAGUUCCUAGGGGCGUACCCGUGAGGACUGACCCGUCUACAGAAAACACGUGAACCAGUAUUGGGAGUGCAUUUACAGCAGCCCCAGGGUGGACCUGGGGCAGCUGUCCGGUGGCCACUGUGCAGGGGGGCAGCAUGGCCUGUCGUGGGGUGGAGCCCUGCUCAGGGACGGCAGGGUGUGGCUGGAGGAGCCUCAGAAACACGAAACCUGAGAGGAGCAGGUGGGAACGACCACUUACCGGGUGAUUCCGUUUCUGUGGAAGGGCUCGAGGAUGGAAAAUGAGACGCAGAGCGGACUCUGGGCCGAAGGGCUGCGCCGGGAAGGGAGAGCACCUGCUGGUGGGCGCGGGAGGUUCGGGGUGAGGGAAGUGUCUCCAGUCAGAUCCUAGUGACCCCCGUCCCCCCCGCCACAGGGGCAGGGUUCUCGGCCGGGCUGUCCUCCCGCUGCCGCGUGGGCCGGGGACACCCUCUCUCGUCACGGGAGAACUCCAGGACAGGCCCGUGGCACCGCGGAUGAGAGACACGGUGAGGAGACGCGCUCCGGGGACGCGAGCCACGGGCUGGGGCGGGGUCCCGGCGGCCGGCUGUCCCUCGUCGCCCCGCGGAGGCACGUGCUGCUCACGGGGCGGGGGCGGGGCGGGGGCGGGGCCAGCGCCGGCCUUUCUCCUCGGGGAGCCGCCAUCUUGGGCUGGGCUCCUGGCGCGGCCCCGACCUUCCGACCUUCAGUCCCGCUGGAACCUGCCAGGCCGCCGCGCCCGCCUCCUCGAGUGCCCUCGGGGGCGGCAGGUGGUGGCCGAGGGCCCGCGGCGCCGUGAGCGAGCUCGCCGCGGGCGGUGUUGCGGAAGAGAGCUUGUGAGGCGACGCCGCCGUCCGCCUUCCGCCUUUGCUACCCGGCGUCUCAGGAGUCCUCCAUGAUACGGCCGCUCGGCGGUUGCCGUGAAGACCCCGGACUUGGCCGUGUGUCUCUGAGCUGUGGGAGAAGACAUACACUCUGGUCCUCACUGAGAGCCUGGGUGGACUUGGCUGCAAACAGAAAGGGAGGAAAUAGCAUCAUCUCUGGCAGUGCAGCACAGUUCAAUAUAGCAGCAGUCACCGAGCACUGCCUGGAAGAGGCAAAGACAGGUAUGAAAGUGGAUGACACGUGUCCAGUUGGCGAGAAAGAAUCAGGAUUCAGAGCGGGAGACCAUUCCCGACCGGGAAGCAUUUUCCCAGGCAAGGCCACUUUUGCACACUGUCUGCCCAGACUGCAGACUCUUCAUUCCCCAGUGAGGGCACGGGUAACCCGUUAUUUCACCAAGUGUUUGAGAAGUGAGAACAGCCACGCUGUCAUAGAUAUCAGCACUGAUUUUUCCCCCUUCGGCCCCAGGACUCACCGGGAGCUGUGAAGGACGUGGGUGCUCCUGCUGAGACCUUGUCCCUACCUGGGAAUAGGCGAUGAGGUGUUCAGGCAGACGGCAGCUGGUGGGUGGAUGCCAUGUGACGGGGACUGCAGGCCCCAUCGGGCAGCCCGACCUGGUUCCUGUGGUCCAGUCCCUGCCCUUCAGGAUGGGGCUCCCUUACUGAGAGACUGUCUCGCCUGCGUCUGUCCCUGCAGGUGCUGGACAAGAGAAGGUCCUUCUCUGGCUGCUUUAAAGUGUAAAGUGUCAGUAGAGGACAUGAGGUCCAGUGAUGCCAACAGUCGCCCAGCCCUGGGAGAGGUGGCCCAUCCAGGGUCAGCAGGGCCCCAGACGCCAGAGCAUCAGAAAUACAGAAGAUCAAGGAUGUCCCCCGGGCCCUGGCCAGCUCUGUGCAUCACUUUUGCCAAUUCCCACUGGACGGAAACCGAGUUGCCCUGUCAGGAUGGGGCUUCCUGGGAAUUCCCAUCAUCCGACGUGCCUCCCGGCCCGGCCUUCCCACAGACACGCUCGGCUGUGUCCGUCGGCUCCACGCGAGGCUCACGGGGCCUCUUUGGCGAGAGAGGUUCGCGGCAGGACAGCUGGGGCUUGGUGGCAGGUUCUGGCCCUAGAUCUAGCCGGGUUCGGGAUCAGUGCAGUGAGCGGUCACAUGCCAUCCAGUCCCGGGAGCACUCGUGCGUCUGUUUUAAGAAGAUUUUACUAAUCUCAUUUUUUGAAACUGAGAUUUUUAUCUGUAAGACUUCUCAUGACCUGAUUAAUCCAGAGCUGCCUUUUAAUUCCACCUCCCCUUAUAGAACAGAAAAGUAAUAACGGGAUCCAAAUAGUAAACAUUAAAAACGCCUUGCAGGCAUAAAUCCAAAUAAUGAAAAAAUUUCAGAAAAAUGGUGUUUUUUUCAUCAUCCAAACUUCAUAGUACCUAGAGCUAUACCUGGAGGUCGAAUUCUUUCCAAAGUGUUGGCAUGGUACUUGACGUGUAGUUAGAAAAACGUGUGCUCUUUCCCCAGAAACACAUAGUCAGAUCUCAUCUGCAUACUCAAGCCAGCUGACACAGAAGGAGGAGAUGCAGAAGGAAGGGUACCGAAAUCUGAAGUAGUAACUGGGAGACGAGAUGAAGAAAGGGUCAAAAUGUAAAAUUCAGGAUUAUGUACCUUGUGUUUAUCAAAACUCUCCAGAUAAUAAUUUUUAAAGAUAAUUUUUAAAAAUCUACUAGACGGUUAAUUUUAUAAUAAAAAAAACUUCUUGGGGCGCCUGGGUGGCUCAGUUAGCUAAGCAUCCGACUUCAGCUCAGGUCAUGAUCUCAGCGGUUUGUGAGUUCAAGCCCUGCAUCGGGCUCUGCGCUGACAGCUCGGAGCCUGGAGCCUGCUUCGGAUUCCGUGUCUCCCUCUCUCUCUGACCCUCCCCUGCUCACAUUCUGUCUCUCUGUCUCUCUCUCUCUCUCAAAAAUAAAUAAAAAAGAAAAAAAACCUUAAAUUAUUUUGGCCAGAGCUAAACAAAUCUCAGAAUCAAAUUCGACUUUCGAGUUGUGCCUUCUAUAAAGCCUGCAGGCGAGGCGCGAGCCGUUUGAUGCUCACGGGGUCAUCACACACACACCAGGUGAACACUGGGAGCAAGACCUCCCUGCCUUCUCUCUUCUCCUGGGCUCUGCUGGGACCCUACUUUGCCUCCUUCCCCUUGUCUUCUGCUCUUUCUCCAACCAGCAAACAUUUAUUGAGCACCUUCUGUACGCCAAGCCCCCCUUAUAUCAGGCAUUGGGGGCACAGCACUAAACAGGGCACACAGCUUCUGGGGUCAACUGGGAGAGAACUGGUUCUGCAGGCAGUUUCCGUCUGCUCACCGUGGGGGGGGGGGUCAGUGGCAGGCAAGUGUGUUGCACAGUGGGAAUCCUUGAGGUCAUCUGCUGAGGACUUGGGGGGCCCAAGUUGUUGGUCAUCACUGGCACUUCUAUUGGAGGGAAACCCUGGUCUUCUCCAAGACCAGGUCUUUGGGAAGAGGGACUCUGAGUCACCGGCAUGAUGGGUGUGUCCCUGGUUUGCUUCCACGAAGGGAGCCAGCCUUGAGACAAGCGUCUUCUGCAGAAGACGGAUGAGAGGGGGCUCUGCCAAACUGCCACCCAGCCCUCAACAAGAGCCAACCCUCACGUUCAACUCCUUGGCUAACACCAGCCAAUAAAUGUCCUUCUUUGUCCAACUGAAGUUGGUUUUUCUGUGCGUGUAGUUGCCAGUGUCUAACAGACUCAUUAGAAGGGAUGGUGGAAGGGAGAGAAUAUUCUAGAGACAAUGAGCAAAUGUGGCAAGAGCAUGUGAGGUGCUCAGCCUGGCUGGAGCUUUGAAAGGGAGGGAGAAGAAGGAAGAGGCGUCAGGCUGGAUGAUUGGGAGGACCCCGUGUGUCGGCUUAGCCUCGAGCUGGGGGCACACUCAGGAGCUUCCUGGGCAAGACCUCAGCCUCCCUGCCUCCCCUGCACUCCGGCCAGUGAGGAGGGUUAGCUUGGAGAGGAGGAAAUUGUUCACGUCCUCUAACAUUUUGGUCUCAAGUCCCCCCUCACACUAAAAAAUUAAAAAAAAAAACUUUUUGUGGGUUGUAUCUACCAAAUAUUCGUUCAAUUAGAAAUUAACACGUAAAUCUAAAAAGAUUAUCUGAUCUGUUAAAAAUAGCAAUGAUUGAUUCAUUGCAUGUGACUAUAGCACAUUUUAAUGAAACAUAACUACAUUUUCAAAAACCAAAAGAAGGUAUCAUUUUGCCCUUUUGCAAGUAUCUUUAAUGUCUGGCCCACUGGAAGGAGCAGACAGUUUCAUCUGCUUCCACCGUCAGUCUGUUGUGUGUUUUGGCUGAUGGCUGCUGAGAAAAUCUCAUUUACACAGAGAUGCAGUUGGAAAGGGGAUGGAUAUUUUAAUAGUCUUUUCAGAUCAUGAUGCAUAUUUUUCUUUGCUACAACACCAAAACUCACCAAGUGGUAGUGUCUUAAAGGUUAGCUGCUAAGGGAAAUCUGAAACCUUAUCCGUACACUUGCAUUCUAUUACGUUAAAAUCCAUUGCUCUCUCUUGUGCUUUGAAUGGCUCUUACCCGUGCAUGGCCGUGACCUUGCAGGACACUGAACACAUCUUGGAGGUGCGUCCCCCAGGGGUUCUGGAUCACUCCUUGAGAGUCGUCUCAGUAAAUCAAAGCAGUUAUGCCAGGAGCCUGGACAAGAGAGGUGGUGGAGAGAAGUUGACAGGCAAAGUGGAUGUGCGCUGAGGGGUGGCAUCGAGGCACCACCGGGGGACUGGAGACUGGUGUGAUUGAUUUGUGGGAAGAGACGGGGGCACCCCUGUGUUCUCGCCUGGGUGACAAUGUGUGCUUCACGGAUAUUAGGACAUGGGGAGAGAAUUAAGUUUGGACGAAAUGAAGUGGAUUCUUCUGAGUGUGUUGGGACUGGGUGCUCAUCAGACACCUCGGACGACACAGACACCUGGGUCUGAAGCUCAUGAGUGCUCUUCCUCAGGGAUAGUCGUGGCUCGGAAGUCAUCAGAAUAUGUGUUAUAAUUCAAGCUGGAGAACAGGGGCAGCAUCCUGAGGAGAGUUUGCAGAGGGUAAGAGAGGAGAACUGAGAGCAGAAGCCUGGGAAGCACUGAUGACUGGGGGACAGGAAGGUGCCAUGCCAUAGAAGCAGGGAAAAGGGGUGUCUCAAGAGGGACAUGGCCGAUGGGGCACAUGCUGCAGACGGUUAAGGAAGACAAAAGCCAACAUGCCCUCCAUGUUGAGAGCAUGGGCCCCACUGGUGACGUUGGCAGAGCAUGGUGGAGGGACCUGUACAAGUCAGAAGUUCCUCCCUCCUGAGGAUAUUUGCAAAUAACAAAUCAGAUAAAGGGUCAGUGUCCGAUAUCUAUAAAGAACGUACCAACCUCAACACCCAGAAAACAAAUAGUCCAGUUAACAAAUAGGCAGAAGACAUGAAUACAUACUUCUCCAAAGAAGACAUCCAGAUGGCCAACAGACACAUGAAAGGAUGCUCAACAUCACUCAUAAUCAGGGAAAUACAAUUCAAAACGACGAUGAGAUACCAUCUCACACCUGUCAGAACGGCUAAAAUUAACAACCCAGGAAACAACAUAUGUUGGUGAGGAUGUGGAAAAAGGGGAACCCUUUUAUCCUGUUGGUGGGAAUGCAAACUGGUGCAGGCACUCUGGAAAACAGUAUGGAGGUUCCUCAAAGUUAAAAAUAGAACUACCCAACGACCUAGCAAUUGCACUACUAGAUAUUUACCCAAGGGAUACGAAAGUACAGAUUCAAAGGGAUACAUGCAGAAAGGUUAAGUUACUGCUUCAUAUAGACAUAACCACACUAGGCUACUAUGCUUGGCUGACUCCUUACUUGGAUGUCCAAUGUCAAAUAAAGUAGUACAUCUGUCUGUUGAUCGAUUGAUUGAUUGACAGAUCAGUCCAUCCAUCCAUCCAUCCACCCAUCCAUCCAUCCAUCCAUCCAUCCAUCCACCCACCCAUCCACCCACCCAUUCACCUACCCAUCCACCCAUACAUUCAUCUAUCCCUAUAGCCACCCAUCCAUCCAGCUAACCAGCCAGCCAGCCAGCCACCCAUCCAUGCAUCCAUCCAUCCACCUAUCAUCCAUUCUUCUACUUCUCCUACAACAUUUAAUUGAGACUUCACUCAUGUUCUAGGCUGUAAGAAAUGGUUCAAAGCUGCUGGAGAAGAGGUGAAAACUUUGUUCUAAUAAACAGGGGUUGUAGAAAGUACUGUUUCCAUAGAUGUUACUCAGGGGCUUUGGGAACUCAAGGGAUGGUUUAAAUGCUGAGCUGAGUCCUGACUGUGUAAGGUAUUAAGCCCUCUCACCAUUUAUUCAAGGUCAGAGACCACAUCUCAUUCCUUAUAGCCUUUGUAUUAUCCCCAGGAGGUCUCUUUUAGUGUUUGGAAACUGUGGUCUCUCAAAAAAAAUGACAGGGAGGAAUUUAAUGAUUGAUUUGCUUUGUGCUUCAGGAGGGCAGCAGAAUAAAAACUGAGCAGCACAAAUACGUAUCAUCUGGCAGCCUUUAAAGCAAUCGCAGAAAUAUUUCUGAAAGACAGAAUAAGAGAAAGGAUGCUUUACAAAUCCAUCAGAAAGACUACGCUGAAAAGGAGAGGAAAGGCUAUGGGAAAGAACAGUACAAAAACAGUACAACCAAGUGAAUGCUCUUGCACUUGUGGGGGGCACAUCCCUGGUGCAUGGAGGGAACAGCAGACGGCACCUUUAACUUGCAGAAACGGGGGGCUGGGCUCUUGACCAGAGGCUCCCCCACAUCUGUCUCUGGAUCACACUCUGCUUCUACGUUGGGGUUUCUUGCCUGUGUGGGACUCUGGGCUCAGCCAGGCCCUGCCGGCGAGCUCACAGCCGCCUCCUGGUCUCAGCUCGGCGUCUCUGCCUUGUCACGACAGUGCACCCCCACGUCAGCUGUGGACAAAGAGGAAUCCUGUACUUUAGGGUUCUUGUUCUGCUGAAUUUUUACAAAGGAGGAGAUUGUUACUUUAAAACUUUGGGGGGUUUUGGUGUUUUUUUUUUUUUAGCAACAGAACCUUUUUCCCACCCCCGCCCCCCCAAACAAAAUCUAGUGCCCAGCCAUAUUCCUUAAGACAGAAGACAAGCCUUUGUGGUGGAGACUGAGCUGUGAAUGGUGGCAUGGGGUGGGCGGAACGCCCCUCCAGCUCUCCAUGCCCAUUGGUUUUCUCAGGAGCUGCUUUCAUUUUGUAAACCCAUCAGAGGUUGACGUCUGCGCUCUGUGCGCAGACCUGCAAUGCAUGUCCACAUCUGUGCACGUAUGUUUCUCUGUAUGGGGGGUGACGCUCGCACAAAAGACUGAAAUAGUUCAUUGAAUAAAAGAGAAAAAGGAAAGGUAGAGAGCGUAAGUAUGCAUCAUCUAGUUGAAGAAAAUAAAGUCCUGGCUCUCAGUAUUAUGUGUGGAUCACAUGCUGUGUAGAAAGUCAAGAAUUACAAAAUUGAAUCCGGUCAAUGGGUGUGUUGCCUAUCACUUCCUGAAAAAAACUAUUAAAAAAAAUCAUGCCACAUUUCUCUCAGGUUUGUAAUCGUUCUAAUGGAACUAAAAUGAACUCUAGUGAGUUUGCCCCACCUUAGACAAAAGUUGAGCCUCGAAAAAUGCAGGGGUUAGGGGUGCCAGCCCCCACACAGUCAAAAUCUGCAUAUGACUUUUGAUUCCCCCAAAUUUAACUACUAACAGCCUACCGUUGGCUGGAAGCCUUGCUAAUAACGUCAAUUAACAGAUAUUUUGUAUGUAAUAUGUGUUAUAUAUUGUACUCUUACAGUAAAAUAAGCUAGAGAAGAGAAAAUGUUGAGGAAACCGUGAGAGAGGAACCUGGGGGCUCAGUCGGUUAAGUGUUCGACUCUUGAUCUUGGCUCAGGUCAUGAUCUCAUGGUUUGUGGUAUCGAGCCCCAAGUCAGGCUCUGUGCUGACAGCGUGGAGCCUGCUUGGGAUUCUCUCUCUGCCCAUGCCUCUUUCUCUCUCUUU